Molecule: long non-coding RNA, 2302 nt
Organism: Quercus robur (English oak)
Lineage: Eukaryota; Viridiplantae; Streptophyta; Magnoliopsida; Fagales; Fagaceae
Exons: 3
Source: RefSeq, a predicted model, not a curated record
CCAUAUUUAUAGUUUUAAAAAUUUAUUUUCUUAUAAUUGUGUUUCUAUAUGAUACUAUAUAUAAAUUUACAUACAGAAUAUAAUUAAAACUCAAUUAAAGUAUAUUAGAUUUUCAAUUAAUACGUGCAUUAGUCAUACCGCUAUAUAUAGGUAUUGCUUGCUUUUGAAGCUCAGACAGAGAUAAAGAGCUCAAGAGGGAGAAAACAAAAAGUUCAAAACUAUAACGCGAGAAGUUUUGUGUGUCUCCCUCGUUUGCUUUACAACGACGACGAUACAAAACUUUGUUUGUUUUGAAUGGGACAGGAACCGACGUAGCAGGAACCAUUUGCCUCACGUACCAAUGGUUUCACUUUCUCUUUUCUCCGAUUUCAUCAAUCUCAAGGUUAAACAGAGUUCGCUUACUGAGUAUCGGACUGUCAAACCAAAAGGCAUCUGAAUCUGAAAGAUGACUUCACGAGUUUUAUUACUGAUAAAGGAACAUCACAUAAAAACAGAUGCAGAGAAAGAGAGUUACUCAACGAGAUUCAUAUAAGUCUGAAAAAGCAUAUAACAUAAAUCAGCGAGCCCAACAUUCUUCCAUUACCUUAUGAUUAGGGCUACAAUACUGCCGUGAGGAUCAAGGGAAGAAUUACCCUGGCCAGGUCAGUGCGGGGGGAUAAGUAGCUCCAUCAGAGUUGGCGGUUGAAGAUGAAGCAGAAGUUUGGGUCAACCUCUCCUUUAUUUUCUUGGUUAGCUUCCCCUUAAGAUCCUCCAUUGCCACCGGCUGAAUCAGUAGCUCAUUAUAGCUGAGUUCAUUAGAUGGAAUACUCAACCAGUUGCAGCACCUGGGGUUUCUUUCACAAUCUGCUGGAGUUUCUCCCCUCGCUUCUUUUCAGCAUCCAGUUGAGAAACCAGAUCAGAAUACUUCUUGUGCAGCUCACAAAGAACUCUCUCAUGGUGUGCCUUCACUUUCCAAAUUGUAGAAGCAGCAUCAGGGUGGCCUAGCCUGUUCAUGACUACAUCAGCAGAGGGGUUACUGAAACCAGGGGAGAGGAUAACAAGGGCUGUCUCAACAACACACAUGCUACAAAGUUCGCUGGCCUUCUUGAAGAGACCAGAUUGUUGUUUUAGAAUGAUACUUGCCGAGCAUCUUUUCCUUGAAUUAUCUUUGCUGGAGUCUUUUUGCACUGCAUGCUAUCUUCUUUUAGUUUGCAUAACUAUUUGAAGAGUAGUGAGAAGCUCAAGAAAUUCUUAGGAGACACACCGGGUUUUAUAGGAUUGAUAGGGGGAUACUUGUAAUCUUUGAGUGUAAGAUUCUCCAUUAAACUUGAAACUCUUGGCAUUGUCUUAAAUAGGCGAGUUCUUCUGUCCCCCACCAAAUGUGUCCAAAUCCAUCAUCAUGAUGAUUGUAAGGGUACAAGUAUAACAUAAUAAAAAAACAAUUUUUGUCCUCUUGCUGCUCUUCAAAUAGUUUUGUCGAGUGCAAGAAGAGAGCAAUGGGCACAAAACGACUCAAGAAAAGAUGAUUCAAGGAGAUGAUGCUCUGCCAUUUUUGUUCUCAAAAUGAUGAUCUGGCCUCUUUAAGAAGGCCAACUAAUUUUGUACCUUGUGUGCUGUUGAGACUGCCCUUGUCAUCUUCUUCCCUGAUGGCAAGGCCUUCUUUGGUCACCCCUCUGUUGAUUUAGUAAUGAAAAGGCUUGGCCACUUAGAUGCCUCUACAAUUCAGGAAACUAAGGCUCGCCAGGAUAGAGUUCUUUGUGACUUGAACAAGAAGUAUUCUGAUUUGGUUGCUCAAUUGGAUGCUGAAAAGAAGCAAGGGGAGAAACUCAAGCAGAUUAUGAAGGAAAUAUAGGGGUGCUGCAACUAGUUCAGAAGUCCAUCUAAUGAACUCAACUAUAAAGAGCUGCUCAUUAUUCAGCAGGUGGCAAUGGAGGAUCUUAAGGGGAAACUAACCAAGGAAAAAGAGGAGAGGUUGGCUGAGACUUAUGCUUCAUCUGCAGCCAUCAACUCUGUUGGAGAUACUAAUCCCCCAGGUGCUCACUUGGGGAUAGUUCUUUUGAUCCCCAUGGCAGUAUUGUAGGCUGUUAUGAAUUGUAUGAUGGAAGAGAGUUUGGCUUGGCUGUUUUAUGUUAUAGGCUUUUCAGAUUUAUUAAUAUCGUCAAGUCACUCUCUUUCUCUUCAUCUGUUUUAUGUGAUGUUCCUUUUCCAAUAAUAAUACUCAUGAUGAAGUAAUUUUUUUUAGAAGCUUUUCUGUAACUGUCAGAUACUCAGUAUCGUUACUCUCUUUUAACCUUGGUGAUGGCUGAAGAAUAUCUCAUUAAAA